RNAcentral lists this long non-coding RNA (2307 nucleotides) under Apteryx owenii (little spotted kiwi). Its description in RNAcentral is "lncRNA (ENSAOWG00000006047.1)". The record is from RNAcentral. Lineage: Eukaryota; Metazoa; Chordata; Aves; Apterygiformes; Apterygidae.
AGGCGGAUUUAGGGGAUGGGGAUAGGUCGGGGGACGGGGUUUGGGGAUGGCUAACUGCGCCCUUCCUAUGCAGCGUUAGAAAGCAGCACACAAAAGUACUCGUUAUCGCUGUUUCCUCGUCUAAAACCAGCUCCGCUCGCGCCAGCUCCCCUAACCCCACCCCGAAAAACCUGUGCGCAAGCAGCCGCCGGCAACGACGGACUUGCGAGAAAUACCGGUAAUUUAGCCGUCGCCUGACAACGGCACGAAACACGCAGCCCUUCUCUAAGGGUAUUUGCGAGAAAGCGAAGGCGCUUUGCUUUGUUUGCUUAGGUUGGCGAUGAAAAGGAGUGAAUGUUACGACGGCUUUAUAAAGCUAAUAUCGCCUGGGAAGAAAAACACCAUCAAACGCACCGGGUUGUUGUGGCAGCUCGUGUUUGAGCGCACGCAGCCAAUUUCUGCAAAGGGCUCCGCUGGCGCGGCUCCGCGGAGCGGCCUCCGGCUCGGCUCAGCUCGGGCUUCGCGAGAGCUUCCCGGUGGCCGCCAGGCCGCUGCUGCCCACGGGUGUCUGCGUGACACCCCGUGUCGGCCGAAUUGGGCCACCCUGUGCAGGACACCGGCGUUGCUCAAGCGCGGCAGAUACCGGCCACCAAUCCAGAAGGAGGAUCCCCUGGAAGACCAAACCUCAUCUGUCACGUUAAAUGACUUGAGUCUUGGCUACCUGACCCAAACUCCCCGGUACAAAUUAUAUGUAGCGCUAAGCCUCAAACUGCCCCGGAGCUGUCACUCCCCAGGGUGUUUUCACGUGAGCUCUGACUCGAGAGAUGGGAGCAGAAGUUGGGCCGGCAGGUUGUUCGGCGCCUCCGACAUCCCAAGGAAAACGGAGGCACAGAGAAGUCAAGCUGCACAUCCGUGGUCAUGCAAGGGCCAGGCCAACUGCUGCCCACUGUGGACACCGUGCGAGGUUACACCGCUCCGGCAAUCGCGGUGCAGGCAGCUGAUGUUUCUGCAUCAGCAGGAUUAAUCAGAUGAGCACAACCUGCAAGACAGGAGCAGUUAAGUUAAGCUUAACUUAAUGGUAUGAGCACAACCUGCAAGACAGGAGCAGUUAAGUCAAGCUUAACUUAAUGGUAUGAGUAUGUAAGCAUGCACUCAUGGCACGCCUGGCAAUGCUCGGGGGCAGUGGAGCAAAGUUCUUCGCACCUGAGUUUCUGCUCUUGGCUUCCUCCGUUUUUGCUCUGUCCAGUGUUAUUUCUGAGGUGCUUUGGAUUUUAAACUCUUCUGUUUGGGGUCCAUGCAAAGAAAUGUGAAAAGUAGCAGUGUGUACGGUAAAAAAUUGCUGCUCUCUCUGGCAUUUCAUUCUGCUGCCAAAUAUCUGCCAUUCAGAACGAUUUUUAAGGAUCAGUCUCCCGAGAGAAGUGAGUUACGUCUGAGUUAGAAGCAGCUCUCUCUUUUAAAAGGUCUUAUUUCAGACACUGGCACUGAAAAAAGAUCCCUUCUUCCAGCCGUCAGGGAUCAGACCUUGUGUUUUCCCUUCCUGCGACACGGGGCAGGUGAACCCCUGCGUGUCCGGGUGGGAGCCGCGCGUCGCAGUGGCCGCGAAGCGUGUUUCAGAAGACAUCUCGGAGACACGCUCAAACUUUCAUUUCACAGAUCUGUGGCGAUGGCUCUUUCGGUUGCGCUUAAACCAAUAAUUGUCUUUAAAAAUAUAAGCAUGGCUGCGUUCAGCUGCUUUCAGGUGCAGAUUUGCCUGGGUCGUAUGGCGCUGCCUUCACACAAGUCAACGCCAACGAUGAUCCUUUUUUGGUGACCCCUGUGGCCUCCUGGCAGAGAAAAACCAGGAGAGGUGUGAGCUGUGGGAAUGUGGGACCAGUUUAGCUGGGAAGUUUUGUCAUUAGGACAAGAUGCGCAACCUCUCUGAGCCCCUAUCGCAAUGCUUGAUGGUCCUCACGGAGCAAACGUUUCUCCUAAUAUCCAGUCUAAACCUCUCUCAUUUCAGUUUAUGCCCGUUUAGUUACCUCGGAGCGUAAAUUCGGUAUGAAUGAGAUCAGAAAGAGAUGUCAUGCCAUUUUCUGUAAAAAGAAAACAAAUCCUCAGUUAAAAGAACUUAAACUCCUUCUUGCCCUAAAAUUAACGUGCAAUACCCAGACGCACGCGAUGCAAAACCCUGAAGGUGAAAAGUAGAAUUUUACAGUAACUGGGCAUGUUAACCAAGGUCAGGAAAUCAUCCAGAAAGCUUAAAGCAGGAAACUUGAAGGAGGAAAAAACAAAAGAUGAAAAGAGACCUUAAAAAAAAUAAUAAAAAUGAGUAAUGUAUUAAGACCUGCA